CACUGAGGGAGGGGAGGAGUCAAAAAUGCCCCCUUCACUUAUUACCUCCUCUCCAGAGCGCAGGUCAGAAUCUACAAUCCUUUCUCCCCUACCAGCCCCUGUGCCAGAUCCCUCCAGCAGAGCCUGGAGUCCUGCCCAUCCUUGACCUCUGAGCCUGGGGAGGGAGAGGAGCAAG
Chelonoidis abingdonii (Abingdon island giant tortoise) is the source of this 175-nucleotide non-coding RNA. Lineage: Eukaryota; Metazoa; Chordata; Testudines; Testudinidae. The record is from RefSeq and is a predicted model, not a curated record.